ACGUACACUCCUGCGGGAGGCAGCAGUGGGGAAUAUUGGACAAUGGGCGCAAGCCUGAUCCAGCCAUGCCGCGUGAGUGAUGAAGGCCCUAGGGUUGUAAAGCUCUUUCACCGGUGAAGAUAAUGACGGUAACCGGAGAAGAAGCCCCGGCUAACUUCGUGCCAGCAGCCGCGGUAAUACGAAGGGGGCUAGCGUUGUUCGGAUUUACUGGGCGUAAAGCGCACGUAGGCGGACUAUUAAGUCAGGGGUGAAAUCCCGGGGCUCAACCCCGGAACUGCCUUUGAUACUGGUAGUCUUGAGUUCGAGAGAGGUGAGUGGAAUUCCGAGUGUAGAGGUGAAAUUCGUAGAUAUUCGGAGGAACACCAGUGGCGAAGGCGGCUCACUAGCUCGAUACUGACGCUGAGGUGCGAAAGCGUGGGGAGCAAACAGGAUUAGAAACCCCAGUAGUCCCAUG
This 454-nucleotide ribosomal RNA is filed under the name uncultured organism. RNAcentral's name for it is "partial 16S ribosomal RNA". It matches the Rfam family "Bacterial small subunit ribosomal RNA", at positions 329 to 799 of the family's 1533-position model. The record is from RNAcentral.